GACGAACGCUGGCGGCGUGCUUAACACAUGCAAGUCGAACGGAAAGGCCCUGCUUUUGUGGGGUGCUCGAGUGGCGAACGGGUGAGUAACACGUGUGUAACCUGCCCUUGACUUUGGGAUAACUUCAGGAAACUGGGGCUAAUACCGGAUAGGAGCUCCUGCUGCAUGGUGGGGGUUGGAAAGUUUCGGCGGUAGGGGAUGGACUCGCGGCUUAUCAGCUUGUUGGUGGGGUAGUGGCUUACCAAGGCUUUGACGGGUAGCCGGCCUGUGAGGGUGACCGGCGAAAUGGGGACUGAGAUACGGCCCAGAAUCCUACGGGAGGCAGCAGUGGGGAAUAUUGCACAAUGGGCGGAAGCCUGAUGCAGCAACGCCGCGUGCGGGAUGACGGCCUUCGGGUUGUAAACAGCUUUAGCCUGUGACGAAGCGUGAGUGACGGUAAUGGGUAAAGAAGCACCGGCUAACUACGUG
Molecule: ribosomal RNA, 468 nt
Filed under: uncultured bacterium
Lineage: Bacteria
Description: partial 16S ribosomal RNA
Rfam family: Bacterial small subunit ribosomal RNA
Source: RNAcentral